CGCGGAGUGGAGCAGGUUGGUAGCUCGCGAGGCUCAUAACCUCGAGGUCACGGGUUCAAAUCCCGUCUCCGCAA
This 74-nucleotide transfer RNA is filed under the name Scoliosorus ensiformis. Its description in RNAcentral is "tRNA-Met". It matches the Rfam family "tRNA". Rfam says of the family: Transfer RNA (tRNA) molecules are approximately 80 nucleotides in length. Their secondary structure includes four short double-helical elements and three loops (D, anti-codon, and T loops). Lineage: Eukaryota; Viridiplantae; Streptophyta; Polypodiopsida; Polypodiales; Pteridaceae. RNAcentral also lists the same sequence under 3 other names. The record is from RNAcentral.